UUUAAGUUCUAGGUCGCCCACCAGUAUAAUGCGGGAAUACAUUUAAGUUCUAGGUCGCCCACCAGUAUAAUGCGGGAAUACAUUUAAGUUCUAGGUCGCCCACCAGUAUAAUGCGGGAAUACAUUCAAGUCCUAGGUCGCCCACCAGUAAAAUGCGGGAAUACUUUUUAGCUCUAGAUUUUGGAAUCAGCAACCCCACCUGAAGACAGAAGGUUACAACAGAGAUCCCCAAGCAGGAAACAAUAAAAUCCCCAGCACCGAGAAGUAGAAGGCUGCAAAAGCAAGCGCGCGAUUCAAAAGGAAGAAGGAACGCGUCUCAAAAGGAGCAGUUUGGGAACGUUAUAGCAUGCUCAACAUAACAAUUUUUAUGAAGAAAGCCAUACCACUGGAGAAACCAUUGAAAGGCUUAAAGAAGAGGGCCAUGUUCCCAGCAGAUCAAGCGAAGUGAUGAAAACUGGCAUUCAGAAAAGGCGAAGGACCAGUAUCAUCCCCCAAGUUCACAAAAUAAAGGCAUCAGAGGAAAGCAUUAGCCGAUAAGAAAGCAAGGCAACAAGAACAAGUUGAAGAUAGAUGAAACCUCAUGAUCCAUAGUCUAGCUUAGCUUCUUGUUUUUCCUUUCAGAACAAUGUAACAGGGAGAUCGAUUGAGCGGUAG
This 653-nucleotide long non-coding RNA is filed under the name Nicotiana tabacum (common tobacco). RNAcentral's name for it is "long non-coding RNA (NTAB_LNC014755)". The record is from RNAcentral. Lineage: Eukaryota; Viridiplantae; Streptophyta; Magnoliopsida; Solanales; Solanaceae.